Long non-coding RNA from Juglans regia (Persian walnut), 639 nucleotides. RefSeq lists it as uncharacterized. Lineage: Eukaryota; Viridiplantae; Streptophyta; Magnoliopsida; Fagales; Juglandaceae. The transcript is spliced from 4 exons. The record is from RefSeq and is a predicted model, not a curated record.
UCAUUUCUUAAUUUCUUUCCCCAGUGCCUAUGCUCUGAACCACCCACCCCUCGACGUCUCUCUCUCGCCAGCUCUUCUAUUCGUUCUCUCACUCUCCCUUUGCGCCGCCGCAGUCCUUAGCUAUCGCCAGUAGCAGUUUUGUCAUUCAGUUCUGAAUUUUAGGGGUUUAUAUAAGCGCAGGGUUGAUCUGGUUUUUAGGGGUUUAAAUGGCUGGAAGGUGUUUGAGAAAAGACUCAAGUGAGCCACAUGUACUGCAUUUUGGAAUGAUGGAAUGAUUAUAUAUAAUAAGAAUGACUAUAUAUAAAGUAGAUCUAUUCCUGGCCAUUCAGCUCUUCAUCAUCAUAGACAUCAUCUGCGAGAAUCGGGCAUGGAAGAAAGCAAGAAGACACAACAAUAAUGAGUUGAAUACUCACAGCAUUUAUGGAAGACGUGUUGUUGGAGUUAUCUGCAGAAGAGUCCCGAGCAGGGUGAAGAAAGAGUGCCUGAGCAGAACAAACUUACAUAUCAAAGCAUCCAUGCAUGCAGCUUUAAGAAGAAUGCUCCAUCAAAGAUAGCGAAUGAACUACUAAACCUUGUAUGAACUUGCACAAGUUGUUUGGAUUAUUACAUGUUUCUAAAAUGUUAUCUAUCUGCCUCAAA